This is a long non-coding RNA of Musca domestica (house fly), 929 nucleotides long. RefSeq lists it as uncharacterized. Lineage: Eukaryota; Metazoa; Arthropoda; Insecta; Diptera; Muscidae. The transcript is spliced from 2 exons. The record is from RefSeq and is a predicted model, not a curated record.
UAGAACAUGAAGGUAUUCAAAAUGUCAAAAUGUUCUAAAAAUUUAAUCCUCAAUCGAUUCCCUCAUUUUAGAAUUAAUCUACAGUCCUUAAGAUACUCAACAAGGACAUUUAUUCCAAAAGGAAUUUCCUUUCCUACUCUUCCCAAAAGUUUUGUUGCACUGUUGUGAUGUAGGGUACCUCAUUGUCAGAUUCUCCCAGCUUUAGCCUCCUUCAGGAAUUAUUAUUUGUUACCUAUAAUAUGGAUCUAUAGCAUGUACUAAAAAGAGCUAUUGUAAAUGUCAAUGAAUUCCUUCCGGAAAUUAUGGAAACGACUUCCAUUUUGGAACCCAAUCUCUUAUUAAUCGUCCAAUAUUUAUUUGCAUGCACCAUCAAUUGUAAUCGUUCAUUGACUUCAUAUUGCCGACAACAACAACUGGAACAGUUGUUUAAACACAAUAAUACCCUUUUGUAUUAAUAAUUAUUUCGAUUAAAUUUAUAUAAAACAAUCUACAUUUCAUCAAACCCAAAUUCAGUUAAAACUCAACGAAAUAGCGAUCAACAAUAUACACGAAUUUUUCUCAAAACGAAAUGGAUAAUUUCAAAUUAAAAUUAUUGAUUGGCGCUCUUUGCAGUUACCUUGACAUGACCUCAAGUGCCUACAUUCCACCAACGUUGGUAGUAACAACAAUUCCGGAACCCUGUCCGGAUCAUAUACUCAUAUUGGCCUAUUUGAUUAUCACGGCUGUUAUCAUAUUCGUCUCAUUGGAGAUAUUCUUGACAAUAAUAUCCAAAAGAAAUAAGCAAACUAAGGAGAUUCAAUAUACCUAAGGGAAAUUCUUUUAAUAUAGAUAUGCAAUUUUUAAAAUUAUAAAUGUUAUUAAGUUUAGUUUAAGAAAAUCUGUAAUUUACAUAGACUUUAAAUUGAAAUAUAUUUAGUUAUAACAAGUAA